GACGUAGGGCGCGAGCGUUGUCCGGAUUUAUUGGGCGUAAAGAGCUCGUAGGCGGCUUGUCGCGUCGACUGUGAAAACUUGGGGCUCAACCCCAAGCUUGCAGUCGAUACGGGCAGGCUAGAGUUCGGUAGGGGAGACUGGAAUUCCUGGUGUAGCGGUGAAAUGCGCAGAUAUCAGGAGGAACACCGGUGGCGAAGGCGGGUCUCUGGGCCGAUACUGACGCUGAGGAGCGAAAGCGUGGGGAGCGAACAGG
RNAcentral lists this ribosomal RNA (253 nucleotides) under uncultured bacterium. RNAcentral describes it as "partial 16S ribosomal RNA". It matches the Rfam family "Bacterial small subunit ribosomal RNA", at positions 524 to 776 of the family's 1533-position model. The record is from RNAcentral.